UCCUGGCCAAUGAAUUUUGGCAAAGAUGGAAGCGAGAGUAUUUGCUAAACCUUCAACAACGUCAGAAAUGGCAAAACUCAACACGAAACCUGAAAGUGAAUGAUAUUGUGAUUCUACAAGAUGAAAGCACACCAAGAAAUGAGUGGAAGCUUGCUAGAGUCUUACAAACCUAUCCUAGUCAAGAUGGCAUCGUACGAAAGUUAACUCUACUUGUCAGUGAGACUACACAGAAUAAAGGAAAUUCACACACUAGACUACUGCAUUUAGAUAGACCUGUUCAUAAGGUUGUAACGCUUGUAGAAGCAGAGUGAGUAACCAAAGCAGUAGUGGUUUGACAUGAAAAUCCCAUUUAUUCUUCAUAGGAGUGAUUUUGGUGGGAGUGUAAAUGCAGCUGAAAUUUAUAUAUUUUAUUGAAGUUCAUGGGUUGUGAAACGUUUAAUAAUUGGUGAUUUAAUUUUUAUUCCUUUGGAGUGUACAGUGAAUUUUGUUUGAUUUUGUUCAGAAGAAUUGUAUUAUUCUCGCGAGAAUUUGAGCCUUUUAUGUUGGCCGCAGGUGAGCACGGUCUUUUGCUCACGAGGUUGCAAUAAUUAGGAGUUCAAGCUGGGAGAAAGAGCUGCAAAAAGAAAUACCUUGGACUCAAAGAGACUCUUUUACUUGACAAGCGGAAACGAGUUUUCACGGCGUAAUGAAGGCGUAAUGAAGGCGCAAUGAAAGCGAAGGCACGCAAUGUCCCACAAGAAGUGUGAUGACCUGCAGAAGUACAAAUAAACGCCCGUUGUAAACCGA
This is a long non-coding RNA of Oryzias latipes (Japanese medaka), 786 nucleotides long. RefSeq lists it as uncharacterized. The record is from RefSeq and is a predicted model, not a curated record. NCBI's taxonomy places the organism in Eukaryota, Metazoa, Chordata, Actinopteri, Beloniformes, Adrianichthyidae.